RNAcentral lists this ribosomal RNA (429 nucleotides) under Chloroflexota bacterium. RNAcentral describes it as "Chloroflexi bacterium partial 16S ribosomal RNA". It matches the Rfam family "Bacterial small subunit ribosomal RNA", at positions 355 to 776 of the family's 1533-position model. Lineage: Bacteria; Bacillati; Chloroflexota. The record is from RNAcentral.
UGGGGAAUAUUGCACAAUGGGCGCAAGCCUGAUGCAGCCAUGCCGCGUGUAUGAAGAAGGCCUUCGGGUUGUAAAGUACUUUCAGCGGGGAGGAAGGGAGUAAAGUUAAUACCUUUGCUCAUUGACGUUACCCGCAGAAGAAGCACCGGCUAACUCCGGGCCAGCAGCCGCGGUAAUACGGAGGGUGCAAGCGUUAAUCGGAAUUACUGGGCGUAAAGCGCACGCAGGCGGUUUGUUAAGUCAGAUGUGAAAUCCCCGGGCUCAACCUGGGAACUGCAUCUGAUACUGGCAAGCUUGAGUCUCGUAGAGGGGGGUAGAAUUCCAGGUGUAGCGGUGAAAUGCGUAGAGAUCUGGAGGAAUACCGGUGGCGAAGGCGGCCCCCUGGACGAAGACUGACGCUCAGGUGCGAAAGCGUGGGGAGCAAACAGG